Molecule: ribosomal RNA, 253 nt
Filed under: uncultured bacterium
Lineage: Bacteria
Description: partial 16S ribosomal RNA
Rfam family: Bacterial small subunit ribosomal RNA
Source: RNAcentral
UACGUAGGUGGCAAGCGUUGUCCGGAUUUAUUGGGUUUAAAGGGUGCGUAGGCGGUCUUAUAAGUCAGUGCUGAAAUAUCCCGGCUUAACCGGGAGGGUGGCAUUGAUACUGUAGGACUUGAGUAAAGUUGAGGUUGUCGGAAUUGACGGUGUAGCGGUGAAAUGCUUAGAUAUCGUCAAGAACACCUAUUGCGAAGGCAGCUAACUAAGCUUUAACUGACGCUGAGGCACGAAAGUGUGGGGAUCAAACAGG